Molecule: long non-coding RNA, 1279 nt
Organism: Zea mays
Lineage: Eukaryota; Viridiplantae; Streptophyta; Magnoliopsida; Poales; Poaceae
Exons: 2
Source: RefSeq, a predicted model, not a curated record
GGCCGCGCUGGAACGCCACCGUGCGGUCCAUGUCCUCGUAGUAUCGCCCAGACUCGCCCAUGUAGUCCCACCUGCAUCCACCGACCACCAAGCACACUCUCACUACAGACCGGAGGGGAUUGCCAUGUGCAGUUCUACUCUACCGUCCGUACCCCUGCAUCGAGCCGGUGUGCGUCCACCAGUGGCCGGAGUUGAAGGAGAGCACGUCGGCGUCGCGCCACGACUCGGCGUUCUCGGAGAUGUCGUCCAGCAUCAGCACCCGCUUCCCCUGGACCACGUCGAUGUCCACCAGGAACUUGUAGGUGUACAAAGGGUCCGCGGAGACGAGCUGCGCCGGCGACUGCGGCGCGGCGGCGUGCAGCAGGCAGACGAGCGACUCCCACUGGUUGCGCCCCAGCGAGUCGCCCACGAACAUCACCGUCUUCCCCUUCAUCCGCGUCAGGAAGUCCGCGCCAUCGAACCUGCAGGUGCACGCAGACACAGUACAAGCUAAGUAAUCAGGGCGGCGCUCACUGCCACUGGUUGCCGUGGGUUCAUGAGGCAUGGCUGGCGCUCACGGCCACGUACGUACCUCGGUAGCUCGCAGCCGGCCGGCUUCCAGAGGUACCGGAGGUAGUCGGAGUCCGGGCGGCCGUAGAGCUGGCAGUUGAACUCCGCGUCGAUGAGCGGGCAGUUGUACCCGGUGUACGCCGCCGAGGCCGAGCUACCGCCGUCGAGGACCCAGCUGCCGCUGAAGACGUCGCAGCCGCCGGCGGCCAGCCCGGGCGUGGCAUCGUGCCUGUGGCGCCGCGCCAGGCCGACGGAGAGCGCAGAGGCUGCCGGGAGAGAGAAGGCGUGGAGCAGGAUGAGGACGGAGGAGGACAACGCGACGACGCCGAGGACGGCACUCUUCCUGCGGGACGGCAGCAUCGUGGCAAACAAAAGAGAAGAGAACGGAAGCAAAGCCGUCUUUCUGAUGGCCCCUUUAUGCUGCUGCUCGGUUCAUCGUGUAACCACGAGUCCAGAAUCCAGAUAGCCGCGAGUAAUCUAUCUAGCUGCGCUAAUUCUCAGGAGUUCGAUUGAAGAGGAGGUGUGCAUGUGAGGGUAAGAAUUGCCGCUAGACCCCGACUGGAGUUCACGUGAGCGUGUUCGAGAUCUCGUAAGUAGUUUGCACCCGUAUGGAAUCCGUGGAUUCGUUGCCUUGCCCGGUUUGCCCUUCGGCGUACGUCGGUGUAGGAACAUCCAAAGAUUCGCAGCCAUGGAAUUCGUGCUUUCUUGGAAAUGGAACAUACUUUGCAUA